This 73-nucleotide transfer RNA is filed under the name Pectobacterium phage vB_PcaM_CBB. RNAcentral describes it as "Pectinobacterium phage vB_PcaM_CBB tRNA-Asn". It matches the Rfam family "tRNA". From Rfam's summary of the family: Transfer RNA (tRNA) molecules are approximately 80 nucleotides in length. Their secondary structure includes four short double-helical elements and three loops (D, anti-codon, and T loops). The record is from RNAcentral. Lineage: Duplodnaviria; Heunggongvirae; Uroviricota; Caudoviricetes.
GACUGUAUAGCUCAGAGGCAGAGCGGCUCCCUGUUAAGGAGAAGGUCGGGAUUUCGAAAUUCCCUACGGUCGC